This 735-nucleotide ribosomal RNA is filed under the name uncultured Gammaproteobacteria bacterium. RNAcentral's name for it is "bacterial SSU rRNA". It matches the Rfam family "Bacterial small subunit ribosomal RNA", at positions 138 to 873 of the family's 1533-position model. Lineage: Bacteria; Pseudomonadati; Pseudomonadota; Gammaproteobacteria. The record is from RNAcentral.
GGGGGAUAGCUCGGGGAAACUCGAAUUAAUACCGCAUACGACCUACGGGUGAAAGGGGGCGCAAGCUCUUGCUAUUAGAUGAGCCUAAAUCAGAUUAGCUAGUUGGUGGGGUAAAGGCCCACCAAGGCGACGAUCUGUAACUGGUCUGAGAGGAUGAUCAGUCACACCGGAACUGAGACACGGUCCGGACUCCUACGGGAGGCAGCAGUGGGGAAUAUUGGACAAUGGGGGCAACCCUGAUCCAGCCAUGCCGCGUGUGUGAAGAAGGCCUUUUGGUUGUAAAGCACUUUAAGCAGGGAGGAGAGGCUAAUGGUUAAUACCCAUUAGAUUAGACGUUACCUGCAGAAUAAGCACCGGCUAACUCUGUGCCAGCAGCCGCGGUAAUACAGAGGGUGCGAGCGUUAAUCGGAAUUACUGGGCGUAAAGCGAGUGUAGGUGGCUCAUUAAGUCACAUGUGAAAUCCCCGGGCUUAACCUGGGAACUGCAUGUGAUACUGGUGGUGCUAGAAUAUGUGAGAGGGAAGUAGAAUUCCAGGUGUAGCGGUGAAAUGCGUAGAGAUCUGGAGGAAUACCGAUGGCGUAGGCAGCUUCCUGGCAUAAUAUUGACACUGAGAUUCGAAAGCGUGGGUAGCAAACAGGAUUAGAUACCCUGGUAGUCCACGCCGUAAACGAUGUCUACUAGCCGUUGGGGUCCUUGAGACUUUAGUGGCGCAGUUAACGCGAUAAGUAGACCGCC